RNAcentral lists this ribosomal RNA (353 nucleotides) under Spanglerogyrus albiventris. RNAcentral describes it as "partial 12S ribosomal RNA". Lineage: Eukaryota; Metazoa; Arthropoda; Insecta; Coleoptera; Gyrinidae. The record is from RNAcentral.
UAUAAAUGUAAAUUAUAAUUACUAAAGAAGUAUUAGUUAUGUUCUUGAAAUUUAAAAAAUUUGGCGGUAUUUUAGUCUAUUUAGAGGAACCUGUUCUAUAAUUGAUAGUCCACGAGAAAUUAUACUUGAAUUAUUAAUUUGUAUACCGUCGUUAUUAGAAAAUUUUAAAAGAAAAUAAAUUUUUAAUAUUUUAAAUUAAAUUAUAAAUCAGAUCAAGGUGCAGUUUAUGUUCAAGGAGAAAUGGGUUACAAUAAAUUUAUUUAAACGAAUAAAAUUAAGAAUUUAAUUUUUAAAGGUGGAUUUAAUAGUAAUAUAAUUUAUUUUAAUUAUAUGAUUUUAGCUCUAAAAUAUGU